AUUGAACGCUGGCGGCAGGCCUAACACAUGCAAGUCGAGCGGAUGAAGGGAGCUUGCUCCUGGAUUCAGCGGCGGACGGGUGAGUAAUGCCUAGGAAUCUGCCUGGUAGUGGGGGAUAACGUCCGGAAACGGGCGCUAAUACCGCAUACGUCCUGAGGGAGAAAGUGGGGGAUCUUUGGACCUCACGCUAUCAGAUGAGCCUAGGUCGGAUUAGUUAGUUGGUGGGGUAAAGGCCUACCAAGGCGACGAUCCGUAACUGGUCUGAGAGGAUGAUCAGUCACACUGGAACUGAGACACGGUCCAGACUCCUACGGGAGGCAGCAGUGGGGAAUAUUGGACAAUGGGCGAAAGCCUGAUCCAGCCAUGCCGCGUGUGUGAAGAAGGUCUUCGGAUUGUAAAGCACUUUAAGUUGGGAGGAAGGGCAGUAAGUUAAUACCUUGCUGUUUUGACGUUACCAACAGAAUAAGCACCGGCUAACUUCGUG
This 484-nucleotide ribosomal RNA is filed under the name uncultured bacterium. Its description in RNAcentral is "partial 16S ribosomal RNA". It matches the Rfam family "Bacterial small subunit ribosomal RNA", at positions 30 to 507 of the family's 1533-position model. The record is from RNAcentral.